UACGAAGGGGGAGCUAGCGUUGCUCGGAAUCACUGGGCGUAAAGCGCACGUAGGCGGCUUUCUAAGUCAGGGGUGAAAUCCUGGAGCUCAACUCCAGAACUGCCCUUUGAUACUGGAGAGCUCGAGUCCGGAAGAGGUGAGUGGGAACUGCGAGUGUAGAGGUGAAAUUCGUAGAUAUUCGCAAGAACACCAGUGGCGAAGGCGGCUCACUGGUCCGGUACUGACGCUGAGGUGCGAAAGCGUGGGGAGCAACAGGG
This 257-nucleotide ribosomal RNA is filed under the name uncultured bacterium. RNAcentral describes it as "partial 16S ribosomal RNA". It matches the Rfam family "Bacterial small subunit ribosomal RNA", at positions 524 to 776 of the family's 1533-position model. The record is from RNAcentral.